UAACAUCCGGAAACGGGUGCUAAUACCGCAUAGUUUUCUUGAUCGCAUGAUUGAGAAAGGAAAGACGGCCUUUGUGCUGUCGCUUAUGGAUGGACCCGCGGCGUAUUAGUUAGUUGGUGAGGUAACGGCUCACCAAGACGAUGAUACGUAGCCGACCUGAGAGGGUGAUCGGCCACAUUGGGACUGAGACACGGCCCAAACUCCUACGGGAGGCAGCAGUAGGGAAUCUUCCGCAAUGGACGAAAGUCUGACGGAGCAACGCCGCGUGAGUGAAGAAGGUUUUCGGGAAUCGUAAAACUCUGUUGUCAGAGAAGAACAAGUUGGAGUAGUAACUGCUCCAGCUUUGACGGUAUCUGACCAGAAAGACCACGGCUAACUACGUGCCAGCAGCAGC
RNAcentral lists this ribosomal RNA (394 nucleotides) under uncultured bacterium. RNAcentral describes it as "bacterial SSU rRNA". It matches the Rfam family "Bacterial small subunit ribosomal RNA", at positions 144 to 518 of the family's 1533-position model. The record is from RNAcentral.